RNAcentral lists this ribosomal RNA (482 nucleotides) under Burkholderia sp. C2PML13. Its description in RNAcentral is "bacterial SSU rRNA". It matches the Rfam family "Bacterial small subunit ribosomal RNA", at positions 16 to 493 of the family's 1533-position model. Lineage: Bacteria; Pseudomonadati; Pseudomonadota; Betaproteobacteria; Burkholderiales; Burkholderiaceae. The record is from RNAcentral.
AUCCUGGCUCAGAAUGAACGCUGGCGGCAUGCCUUACACAUGCAAGUCGAACGGCAGCACGGGGGUAACCCUGGUGGCGAGUGGCGAACGGGUGAGUAAUACAUCGGAACGUGUCCUGUAGUGGGGGAUAGCCCGGCGAAAGCCGGAUUAAUACCGCAUACGCUCUACGGAGGAAAGGGGGGGAUCUUAGGACCUCUCGCUACAGGGGCGGCCGAUGGCAGAUUAGCUAGUUGGUGGGGUAAAGGCCUACCAAGGCGACGAUCUGUAGCUGGUCUGAGAGGACGACCAGCCACACUGGGACUGAGACACGGCCCAGACUCCUACGGGAGGCAGCAGUGGGGAAUUUUGGACAAUGGGGGCAACCCUGAUCCAGCAAUGCCGCGUGUGUGAAGAAGGCCUUCGGGUUGUAAAGCACUUUUGUCCGGAAAGAAAUCCCUUGCCCUAAUACGGUGGGGGGAUGACGGUACCGGAAGAAUAAGCAC